AAAACUAUUUAAAGUUACAAGAAAAAAAUGGAGACAUGUACCAUCUCAGUUGAUGCAAAUUCAAGAUUUCAACAACCAAAAUUUAUUUGAACACUGAAACGAGCACGAAGAAGCUCUAUUGUAUCGGUGAAUUGGCCAAAUAUUACAAAACCUGCCAAUCAAGUCAUGUGCCUGAAUUGAUGAAUCCAGUUUAAAAACGUGCACACGAGUGUGUUCGACUGGACUUAAUGCAAUCCACUGCUGUCCAAAUUUUAUAGUCAGUAGAGACACAACUAGAAUUUUAUUCUAAAUUUAGAGUUGAACUGGAUAGAAGGUGCUCUUCUUUUCGAACCUAUUUUAUCUAUUACAAUGUACAGUAGUAUUUGUAUGCCCUUUUACCUUCUGAUUUUGUAGAGAGGUGACAAGAAGGAAGUUUUACAUUUUCAGACCAUAAAACUCAUUUUAAAGAGGAUUGGUUUAGCGUGCUGUAAUAAAAUUGGACUAACUUGGAUACACGAUUUUAAGGAACAAGAUUGUAAAUCACUCCUUCAGAUGACCCUCGAGAAACUCUGCAAGUUUUUAAGAAACAAUAUAGUAAAUCUGAUGAGGAUUUUGUUAGUUUGAUGCCUAUUCUUCGAGUAGUGUUCUGUAAAAUCACACUAUGAAUUUACGUUCGUUUAUUUGCGCCUGAAU
This 672-nucleotide long non-coding RNA is filed under the name Olea europaea subsp. europaea. Lineage: Eukaryota; Viridiplantae; Streptophyta; Magnoliopsida; Lamiales; Oleaceae. The record is from RNAcentral.